AGCAACAAAUGCCCUGCUUCCAGGAAAAGCCUCUAAGCAUCAGGUAACAUCAAAUCGUACCCCAAACCGACACAGGUGGUCAGGUAGAGAAUACCAAGGCGCUUGAGAGAACUCGGGUGAAGGAACUAGGCAAAAUGGUGCCGUAACUUCGGGAGAAGGCACGCUGACACGUAGGUGAAGUGAUUUACUCAUGGAGCUGAAGUCAGUCGAAGAUACCAGCUGGCUGCAACUGUUUAUUAAAAACACAGCACUGUGCAAACACGAAAGUGGACGUAUACGGUGUGACGCCUGCCCGGUGCCGGAAGGUUAAUUGAUGGGGUCAGCGCAAGCGAAGCUCCUGAUCGAAGCCCCGGUAAACGGCGGCCGUAACUAUAACGGUCCUAAGGUAGCGAAAUUCCUUGUCGGGUAAGUUCCGACCUGCACGAAUGGCGUAAUGAUGGCCAGGCUGUCUCCACCCGAGACUCAGUGAAAUUGAACUCGCUGUGAAGAUGCAGUGUACCCGCGGCAAGACGGAAAGACCCCGUGAACCUUUACUAUAGCUUGACACUGAACAUUGAGCCUUGAUGUGUAGGAUAGGUGGGAGGCUUUGAAGUGUGGACGCCAGUCUGCAUGGAGCCGACCUUGAAAUACCACCCUUUAAUGUUUGAUGUUCUAACGUGGACCCGUAAUCCGGGUUGCGGACAGUGUCUGGUGGGUAGUUUGACUGGGGCGGUCUCCUCCUAAAGAGUAACGGAGGAGCACGAAGGUUGGCUAAUCCUGGUCGGACAUCAGGAGGUUAGUGCAAUGGCAUAAGCCAGCUUGACUGCGAGCGUGACGGCGCGAGCAGGUGCGAAAGCAGGUCAUAGUGAUCCGGUGGUUCUGAAUGGAAGGGCCAUCGCUCAACGGAUAAAAGGUACUCCGGGGAUAACAGGCUGAUACCGCCCAAGAGUUCAUAUCGACGGCGGUGUUUGGCACCUCGAUGUCGGCUCAUCACAUCCUGGGGCUGAAGUAGGUCCCAAGGGUAUGGCUGUUCGCCAUUUAAAGUGGUACGCGAGCUGGGUUUAGAACGUCGUGAGACAGUUCGGUCCCUAUCUGCCGUGGGCGCUGGAGAACUGAGGGGGGCUGCUCCUAGUACGAGAGGACCGGAGUGGACGCAUCACUGGUGUUCGGGUUGUCAUGCCAAUGGCACUGCCCGGUAGCUAAAUGCGGAAGAGAUAAGUGCUGAAAGCAUCUAAGCACGAAACUUGCCCCGAGAUGAGUUCUCCCUGAGACUUAGAGUCUCCUGAAGGAACGUUGAAGACGACGACGUUGAUAGGCCGGGUGUGUAAGCGCAGCGAUGCGUUGAGCUAACCGGUACUAAUGAACCGUGAGGCUUAACCUU
RNAcentral lists this ribosomal RNA (1360 nucleotides) under Salmonella enterica subsp. enterica serovar Thompson. RNAcentral's name for it is "partial 23S ribosomal RNA". It matches the Rfam family "Bacterial large subunit ribosomal RNA", at positions 1589 to 2925 of the family's 2925-position model. Lineage: Bacteria; Pseudomonadati; Pseudomonadota; Gammaproteobacteria; Enterobacterales; Enterobacteriaceae. RNAcentral also lists the same sequence under 11 other names. The record is from RNAcentral.